RNAcentral lists this ribosomal RNA (468 nucleotides) under uncultured bacterium. RNAcentral's name for it is "partial 16S ribosomal RNA". It matches the Rfam family "Bacterial small subunit ribosomal RNA", at positions 28 to 507 of the family's 1533-position model. The record is from RNAcentral.
GACGAACGCUGGCGGCGUGCUUAACACAUGCAAGUCGAACGCAAAAGCCCAGCUUUCUGGGUGUGUUCGAGUGGAGCAGGGGAGUGUCACACGAGAGUAACGUCCCCUUCAUUUUGGUAACACCCCGGGACACUGGGGCUAAUACGGGAUAGAAGCACCUGCGGCUUGGUGGGGGUUGGAAAGUUUUUGCGGUUGGGGAUGGACUUGCGGCUUUUCAGCCUGUUGGUGGGGUAGUGGCUUACCAAGGCGUUGACGGGUAGCCUGCCUGAGAAGGUGAGCGGCCACAUAGGGACUGAGAUCCGGCCGAGACUCCUACGGGAGGAAGCAGCGGGGAAGAAUGAACAAUGGGCGGACGCCGCAUGCAGCAACGCCGCGUGCGGGAUGUCGGCCAUCUGGUUGGAACACGCUUUAGCCUGAGACGGAGCGUGGGUGAGGGUAAUGGGUAAAGAAGCACCGGCUAACUACGUG